UGGGGGAUAUUGCACAAUGGGGGAAACCCUGAUGCAGCGACGCCGCGUGGAGGAAGAAGGUUUUCGGAUUGUAAACUCCUGUCGUUAGGGACGAUAAUGACGGUACCUAACAAGAAAGCACCGGCUAACUACGUGCCAGCAGCCGCGGUAAAACGUAGGGUGCAAGCGUUGUCCGGAAUUACUGGGUGUAAAGGGAGCGCAGGCGGACCGGCAAGUUGGAAGUGAAAACUAUGGGCUCAACCCAUAAAUUGCUUUCAAAACUGCUGGCCUUGAGUAGUGCAGAGGUAGGUGGAAUUCCCGGUGUAGCGGUGGAAUGCGUAGAUAUCGGGAGGAACACCAGUGGCGAAGGCGACCUACUGGGCACCAACUGACGCUGAGGCUCGAAAGCAUGGGUAGCAAACAGGAUUAGAUACCCUGGUAGUCCAUGCCGUAAACGAUGAUUACUAGGUGUUGGAGGAUUGACCCCUUCAGUGCCGCAGUUAACACAAUAAGUAAUCCACCUGGGGAGUACGACCGCAAGGUUGAAACUCAAAGGAAUUGACGGGGGCCCGCACAAGCAGUGGAGUAUGUGGUUUAAUUCGAAGCAACGCGAAGAACCUUACCAGGUCUUGACAUCCGAUGCAUAGUGCAGAGAUGCAUGAAGUCCUUCGGGACAUCGAGACAGGUGGUGCAUGGUUGUCGUCAGCUCGUGUCGUGAGAUGUUGGGUUAAGUCCCGCAACGAGCGCAACCCUUAUUGCCAGUUACUACGAAAGAGGACUCUGGCGAGACUGCCGUUGACAAAACGGAGGAAGGUGGGGAUGACGUCAAAUCAUCAUGCCCUUUAUGACCUGGGCUACACACGUACUACAAUGGCGUUUAACAAAGAGAAGCAAGACCGCGAGGUGGAGCAAAACUCAAAAACAACGUCUCAGUUCAGAUUGCAGGCUGCAACUCGCCUGCAUGAAGUCGGAAUUGCUAGUAAUCGCGGAUCAGCAUGCCGCGGUGAAUACGUUCCC
RNAcentral lists this ribosomal RNA (996 nucleotides) under uncultured bacterium. RNAcentral describes it as "bacterial SSU rRNA". It matches the Rfam family "Bacterial small subunit ribosomal RNA", at positions 355 to 1375 of the family's 1533-position model. The record is from RNAcentral. RNAcentral also lists the same sequence under 1 other name.